Molecule: non-coding RNA, 27 nt
Filed under: Bombyx mori (domestic silkworm)
Lineage: Eukaryota; Metazoa; Arthropoda; Insecta; Lepidoptera; Bombycidae
Source: RNAcentral
UCGCGACGCGAGGGCUUUAGGAAGGUC